UACAGAGGGGGCAAGCGUUAUUCGGAAUUAUUGGGCGUAAAGGGCGCGUAGGCGGCUUGGCAAGUGGAAGGUGAAAUCCCUCGGCUUAACCGAGGAACUGCCCUCCAAACUGCUUUGCUUGAGUCCGGGAGAGGUGAGUGGAACUGCGAGUGUAGAGGUGAAAUUCGUAGAUAUUCGCAAGAACACCAGUGGCGAAGGCGGCUCACUGGCCCGGUACUGACGCUGAGGUGCGAAAGCGUGGGGAGCAAACAGG
This 253-nucleotide ribosomal RNA is filed under the name uncultured bacterium. RNAcentral's name for it is "partial 16S ribosomal RNA". It matches the Rfam family "Bacterial small subunit ribosomal RNA", at positions 524 to 776 of the family's 1533-position model. The record is from RNAcentral.